AGCUUUGCGCAGUGGCAGUAUCGUAGCCUAUGAGGUUUAUCCGAGGCGUGAUUAUUGCUGGUUGAAAACUUUACCCAAUACCCCGCCUAGACGACUUGAAAUAUAGUCGGCGACGGCAAUUUUUGACAGUCUCUAAGGAGA
This 141-nucleotide small nuclear RNA is filed under the name Dicentrarchus labrax (European seabass). Its description in RNAcentral is "U4 spliceosomal RNA (ENSDLAG00005029290.1)". It matches the Rfam family "U4 spliceosomal RNA". From Rfam's summary of the family: U4 small nuclear RNA (U4 snRNA) is a component of the major U2-dependent spliceosome. Lineage: Eukaryota; Metazoa; Chordata; Actinopteri; Moronidae. The record is from Rfam by way of RNAcentral.